RNAcentral lists this ribosomal RNA (467 nucleotides) under uncultured bacterium. Its description in RNAcentral is "partial 16S ribosomal RNA". It matches the Rfam family "Bacterial small subunit ribosomal RNA", at positions 28 to 507 of the family's 1533-position model. The record is from RNAcentral.
GACGAACGCUGGCGGCGUGCUUAACACAUGCAAGUCGAACGGAAAGGCCUCUUUCGGGGGGUACUCGAGUGGCGAACGGGUGAGUAACACGUGAGUAACCUGCCCUUGACUUUGGGAUAACUUCAGGAAACUGGGGCUAAUACCGGAUAGGAGCUCCUGCUGCAUGGUGGGGGUUGGAAAGUUUCGGCGGUUGGGGAUGGACUCGCGGCUUAUCAGCUUGUUGGUGGGGGAGUGGCUUACCAAGGCUUUGACGGGUAGCCGGCCUGAGAGGGUGACCGGCCACAGUGGGACUGGGAUACGGCCCAGACUCCGACUGGAGGCAGCAGUGGGGAAUAGUGCACAAUGGGUGGAGGCCUGAUGCAGAAACGCCGUGGGCGGGAGGACGGCCAUCGGGUUGUAAACCGCUUGCGCUCAUGACGAAGCUGUGUGUGACGGUAGUGGGUAAAGAAGCACCGGCUAACUACGUG